This 690-nucleotide ribosomal RNA is filed under the name uncultured archaeon. Its description in RNAcentral is "bacterial SSU rRNA". It matches the Rfam family "Archaeal small subunit ribosomal RNA", at positions 187 to 879 of the family's 1478-position model. The record is from RNAcentral.
AUGGAUUCGUCUGCCCAAGGAUGGGUCUGCGGCCUAUCAGGUAGUAGUGGGUGUAAUGUACCUACUAGCCUACAUCGGGUACGGGUUGUGAGAGCAAGAGCCCGGAGAUGGAUUCUGAGACAUGAAUCCAGGCCCUACGGGGCGCAGCAGGCGCGAAAACUUUACAAUGCGGGAAACCGUGAUAAGGGGACACCGAGUGCCAGCAUCAUAUGCUGGCUGUCCAGGUGUGUAAAAUACACCUGUUAGCAAGGGCCGGGCAAGACCGGUGCCAGCCGCCGCGGUAACACCGGCGGCCCGAGUGGUGAUCGUGAUUAUUGGGUCUAAAGGGUCCGUAGCCGGUUUGGUCAGUCCUCCGGGAAAUCUGACAGCUCAACUGUUAGGCUUUCGGGGGAUACUGCCAGACUUGGAACCGGGAGAGGUAAGAGGUACUACAGGGGUAGGAGUGAAAUCUUGUAAUCCCUGUGGGACCACCUGUGGCGAAGGCGUCUUACCAGAACGGGUUCGACGGUGAGGGACGAAAGCUGGGGGCACGAACCGGAUUAGAUACCCGGGUAGUCCCAGCCGUAAACGAUGCUCGCUAGGUGUCAGGCAUGGCGCGACCGUGUCUGGUGCCGCAGGGAAGCCGUGAAGCGAGCCACCUGGGAAGUACGGCCGCAAGGCUGAAACUUAAAGGAAUUGGCGGGGGAGCAC